AUUGAACGCUGGCGGCAUGCCUUAAACAUGCAAGUCGAACGGCAGCACGGGAGCAAUCCUGGUGGCGAGUGGCGAACGGGUGAGUAAAGUAUCGGAACGUGCCCAGUCGUGGGGGAUAACGUAGCGAAAGUUAAGCUAAUACCGCAUACGAUCUAUGGAUGAAAGCGGGGGAUCGCAAGACCUCGCGCGAUUGGAGCGGCCGAUAUCAGAUUAGGUAGUUGGUGGGGUAACGGCUCACCAAGCCGACGAUCUGUAGCUGGUCUGAGAGGACGACCAGCCACACUGGGAUUGAGACACGGCCCAGACUCCUACGGGAGGCAGCAGUGGGGAAUUUUGGACAAUGGGCGAAAGCCUGAUCCAGCCAUGCCGCGUGCAGGAUGAAGGCCUUCGGGUUGUAAACUGCUUUUGUACGGAACGAAAAGGUUUGGCCUAAUAAGCUGAGCUCAUGACGGUACCGUAAGAAUAAGCACCGGCUAACUACGUGCCAGCCGCCGCCGUAA
RNAcentral lists this ribosomal RNA (500 nucleotides) under uncultured bacterium. RNAcentral describes it as "partial 16S ribosomal RNA". It matches the Rfam family "Bacterial small subunit ribosomal RNA", at positions 30 to 523 of the family's 1533-position model. The record is from RNAcentral.